AGCUUUGCACAGUGGCAGUAUCAUAGCCAAUGAGGUUUAUCCAAGGCAUGAUUAUUGCUAAUUGAAAGCUCUCUUAAAAAUUCCUGACAUCACUUAUUGUG
RNAcentral lists this small nuclear RNA (101 nucleotides) under Mustela putorius furo (domestic ferret). Its description in RNAcentral is "U4 spliceosomal RNA". It matches the Rfam family "U4 spliceosomal RNA", at positions 1 to 104 of the family's 138-position model. From Rfam's summary of the family: U4 small nuclear RNA (U4 snRNA) is a component of the major U2-dependent spliceosome. The structure of U4 snRNA from yeast and human has been reported. U4 snRNA presents a k-turn RNA motif in the 5p-SL related to recognition of Snu13 protein. The record is from Rfam by way of RNAcentral. Lineage: Eukaryota; Metazoa; Chordata; Mammalia; Carnivora; Mustelidae.